Molecule: non-coding RNA, 45 nt
Organism: Schistosoma margrebowiei
Lineage: Eukaryota; Metazoa; Platyhelminthes; Trematoda; Strigeidida; Schistosomatidae
Source: Rfam
AUCCAACUGAUAAGUCCUGGAUAGAAUGAAACGCGCGUCCUGGAU